Molecule: long non-coding RNA, 333 nt
Organism: Cygnus olor (mute swan)
Lineage: Eukaryota; Metazoa; Chordata; Aves; Anseriformes; Anatidae
Exons: 3
Source: RefSeq, a predicted model, not a curated record
AGAAGGUCAAAGAAGGUCAAAGAAGGUUACAGAAAAUCAAUAAUGUCAAAGAAGUUCAAAGAAGGUCAAAGAAGUUCGAAGAAGGUCAAAAGACGAAUAUGUAGUCAGAGAGGGUCAGAGAAGGUGAGGAGGCUGAAAGUCUGGGAAAAGAAUAUCUGAGAAGUUCAGGAAUGAAAGCAAGUUCAGGGUAGGUCAAAUGGUGGAGGGAGGGUCAGAGAGGGUUAGAUAGGGUCCAAACACGAAAAGAAGGUAAAGGGGGUCAGAGAAAGUGAAAGGAGAUCAAAAAGGUAAAGGCAGAAAGAAGUUAAAGAGGGUCAGAGAAGGUGAAAGAAG